Molecule: ribosomal RNA, 438 nt
Filed under: uncultured bacterium
Lineage: Bacteria
Description: bacterial SSU rRNA
Rfam family: Bacterial small subunit ribosomal RNA
Source: RNAcentral
GACGAACGCUGGCGGCGUGCCUAAUACAUGCAAGUCGAGCGGACCAAAGGGAGCUUGCUCCUGGAGGUUAGCGGCGAACGGGUGAGUAACACGUGGGCAACCUGCCUGUAAGACUGGGAUAACAUCGAGAAAUCGGUGCUAAUACCGGAUAAUAAAAAGAACUGCAUGGUUCUUUUUUGAAAGAUGGUUUCGGCUAUCACUUACAGAUGGGCCCGCGGCGCAUUAGCUAGUUGGUGGGGUAACGGCUCACCAAGGCGACGAUGCGUAGCCGACCUGAGAGGGUGAUCGGCACACUGGGACUGAGACACGGCCCAGACUCCUACGGGAGGCAGCGGUAGGGAAUCUUCCGCAAUGGACGAAAGUCUGACGGAGCAACGCCGCGUGAGUGAUGAAGGUUUUCGGAUCGUAAAACUCUGUUGUUAGGGAAGAACGAAGUAG